GUCUGACUGACUUAUUUUACUUAACAUAAUACCCUCCACUUCCAUCCAUAUUGUUGCAACUGGCAAGAUUUCAUUCUUUUUGAUUGCUGAGUAGUAGUCCAUUGUGUGUAUAUACCACAUCUUAAUCCGUUCAUCAGUCCCAUGCUGCAGUCCUACUGAGUGCUGCUGAUGUUUGAACUCAGAUCCGUCCAUGAUUAAACAUAGAACUAAGGGGCCACGUUGCUCUGGACACGACAGAUAACUACCCUGUGGGGCUUUCUAUCUCUUGCAGCAAGCUCUGGAAAUGCUAUUGGUCAAUUUAGGUUACAAGUGGACUCCAGGCAGAUCACAGCGUGCAGUAGAAGGGGUGUGUGCUGCUAUCUGCCGUGAACGUGGAAGAAUCUGGUGGUUUCCAGCCCUCCUUCUGCCGUAGCUGCUUCUGCACUGGGAACUUCUGGUGGCGGUGGUGACGAUCUUGCCCAAAAGGAGAAAUUUCAUUUUGGUAUAGCCUGUUCCCAGCCCCUUCUUAAAUGCUCCAGAGAAGCAGUACUACUCACUGGGCAGAAGCCAUUCUGUGCAAGGUGCUGGUGCAUCUUAGUGACAUUCAGCCCCUCCAGUCUCUGCCUUGUUCCUAGAUUAGCUCCUGGUGCAUCCAGCUACCCCUGGGGUAGUUUGUUGAUUCUAGUAUUUUAGACUUGGUUUUCUAUCUUGGUCUUUCUGUUCGCUGUCUGAAGUCAGACCACUCUGAAUUCAGGGAGGCUAGUGAUAUUUUUUUUAGGGCAGAUACACCUGUGACCUUAUUGGGAGUCAUGGCAGAACAUUGCUUUUGCCUUUCUGUCAUCUACCAGGCCCUGCUUCUGUCUUUAAAAACACCCUUCAACUACUUCUGUGUAAGCCCCAGCCAGCGUCCUUCAUAAUUACUCUACCGUAUUCAUCAAGGCAGUUGAUAAGGGGUGGGAGGAAGCUGGGCUAUUGUAGCAAGACCUGCGGAUGGGAGAAGAGCAACGGGAGGCUGUAUGGAAAUUCAAGUUGCCCUCAUAGGACAGCUAAACUUCAUGUUUGUUUGUUUGGUUUUUCAAUCUUCUCUGAUAAGAAAGUGGUGAAGGACAUAACUAAUGACAGACCCAACAAAACAACCCAAAAGCUUAAGUUGUGUCAUGUGCCUAUAUUCUCACGAUCACAAAAGCCCAUGAGGUGGCCACUUCCUUUUUUUUUUUUUUUUUUUUAAUGUUUAUUUUUGAGACAGACAGAGUAUGAGUGGGGUAGGGGCAGAGAGAGAGGGAGACAAAGAAUUGGAAGCAGGCUCCAGGCUCUGAGCUGUCAGCACAGAGCCCAACAUGGGGCUCGAACCCAUGAACCGUGGGAUCAUGACCUGAGCUGGAGCCAGAUGCUUAACUGACUGAGCCAAGGUGGCCACUUUCUGCUAAGUUGUCUGUUUUGGGAGCAUCCUCAGUGAGGCCCAUGCUGGCAGACAGUUUUAUGUUGACUUGAGUGGAACUGCAAAGUGCUAACAGUAAAGGAAGGAGUAGGCAGGAUGGAGUAGAGGAGGUUGGAAGAAGUGGGAAAAUCAAAGGCAGAUGGAGAAAAGGAAACACCAAGGAAAUACGGAAUCACCACAGGGUUGGCCGUGCCCAAGGUGGGGGUGGGACUCACCUGGUUGAGGUGAGGGGGCCAAGAUAGGGUGAUGAAAUGGAUUUACUGGGGGUUUUGGUCAUGGUGUGAGGAUUAGAACCUGGGGUUCCAUUGACUUUGCCUGUUGGUACUUGGUUGGAGACCCGUGGAUGUACCAGGGGGCAAUAUUCUCCAGUCCGUGAUGAAUAGGAAAGCAGGACCACCAACCGGAUGCCCAACCCAGACCUCCACUGUUCCUCACCUGACUCCAGGGUGGAGGAGAAGCAGCCCGCACUCCAGACAACCCUGGCCUGUUCUUCACAAGUGACUAGUGGCUCAUGGGAAUGUGGCAAGCCAGGUCUUUUGGUACUUGAGUCGACUAGGUCUGAGAGGCCAUUGGAGUAGAGAAUUUAUCAGUGUUUGGCAUCUUACAGAGGCCAAGCCACAUCACUCCUUUACUCAAGCAAAUAGAGUAGCUUUCAUUUUGUCUGGGGCUGCUCCAAUUCCUUGUCACAUCCAGUCCACAUUUGUCAGACAGCGUGACCCCAAGCCUGAGCAUGGGCCUUGGGUUGGCCCCGUUGAAGGGACCAGGUCAGAGUUUUGGCGGAUGGGCCCUCUGUGGUCCUUCUGAUGCUAGUGGUUCUGGGUGUGGCCCCUGCUCUGUUGAGACCCUUCCGUUAGGUGUGCAGGGGAGGGUAUGGAAUCUCAGGAGGUGAGUGUGGCACACUUGUGUUCUGGUUCAGCGUGGCUUCAGCUGUUAGGACGUUUCAUAAUUUACCUCCCCACGCUUGGGUUUCCUCUGUGCAGUUGAGGCUGAUGUGUGACAUGGUGCCAGAAAAAUGAGAAAGAUGCCCAUCACUGCCUCACCGUCCCCUCUAACACUCCCCCAUUCUCGUACAUGUUUAUUUAGGGUGGUGGGUAGCUUAGUGGUUCACGAAUUCUCCUCCCUGUUAACCCGUGGUGGUCUGGAGUGGGUUCGUCUUUUAAGGUUUGAUGUGGCUGUGCUUUUAAUGUUAUUUUUGAAAGCCUUUAUUUUUUAAAAACAUUAACUCAGUAAUUUCUUAAAAAAAUUUUUUUAAGUAGACUCCACACCCAACGUGCGGCUUGAACUCCCAUCCCUGAGAUCAAGAGUCACGUGCUUUACUGACCCAGCCAGGCAGGCGCCCCUCAGUAAUUUCUGAGGAAAGCUUUUAGUUUCUCGGGUUUCAGUAGAGCGAUGUCAAAUAACACAAGAUUAGGAAUGAGACCUUUGUGAAUCCCAGCUAUGUCCGCCGAUGCGUGGCAUUGGGUGGGUCCUGCACCUGAGGCUAAUUUUCUCAUCUGCAAAAUGGGAAUUGUCUACCAUCUACCCUGGUCUGGAGAGGGUUUGUACACAUAAUGGUUAGGUACUAAAUGCUUAGGAUUCUUUCUAGCUGUUUGAUCCCUGGGAAGGAUUCAAAGCAGGCUUCGCCCUCCCUGGUAAAUGUCAGCAUGAGUCACAGGGUUUAUCUUCACAUCUAGUACUUGGAUGUGCUCGGCUAGAAGAACAGAGAUGAGAUAUGGCACCUGCGUGCGGGUCAGGGUCAGACUGCCCCAUGACAAAUGCUGGAGUUAAAAAGAAGGCCCGCAGGCAUCUCCAUGAAGUUCACCUUGUUCCAGUGCCGAACAGCAGGAUCUGUCCAGUCGGGCGAACUGACGAGGUGGGAUCUGCCUCAGGGCUGUUGGAUCCUAGAGCUACUACCUAUACCCAUCCCCCCUGAGGAACUACAAUGUCAUCAGAAUUCAGCUGUCUCCCAUCUCCGCUCUGCUUUCUUCAGUGUUCACUCCCUUCUCCUGCAGACGUUCUCUUUAAUAGUCUAUUCUCUCUGCAACCUUAGUGGGUGAAAGGAAGGAAGGAAGGAAGGAAG
Molecule: long non-coding RNA, 3476 nt
Organism: Felis catus (domestic cat)
Lineage: Eukaryota; Metazoa; Chordata; Mammalia; Carnivora; Felidae
Exons: 2
Source: RefSeq, a predicted model, not a curated record